Molecule: small nucleolar RNA, 216 nt
Organism: Solanum pennellii
Lineage: Eukaryota; Viridiplantae; Streptophyta; Magnoliopsida; Solanales; Solanaceae
Product: small nucleolar RNA U3
Exons: 1
Source: RefSeq, a predicted model, not a curated record
ACGACCUUACUUGAACAGGAUCUGUUCUAUAGGCUCGUACCACUGAAUCUUUGAAUUCUAAAGAGACAGGAUACCAAGUCUGGUUGAUGAAGCAUAGCCAUGUGACUAGAGCGUGAUUAACAGCCAACUGUAGUUUCUCGAGUUGCAGUGGCAGUAGAUGAUCGUUCUUAGACCUGAUCUCAAGCCUAGGAUGGUCUCAUGGUUGUCUGACAGAUU